RNAcentral lists this ribosomal RNA (497 nucleotides) under uncultured bacterium. RNAcentral's name for it is "partial 16S ribosomal RNA". It matches the Rfam family "Bacterial small subunit ribosomal RNA", at positions 28 to 507 of the family's 1533-position model. The record is from RNAcentral.
GAUGAACGCUGGCGGCGUGCCUAAUACAUGCAAGUAGAACGCUGAAGGAAGGAGCUUGCUCUUUCCGGAUGAGUUGCGAACGGGUGAGUAACGCGUAGGUAACCUGCCUGGUAGCGGGGGAUAACUAUUGGAAACGAUAGCUAAUACCGCAUAACAGUAGAUGUUGCAUGACAACUAUUUGAAAGGGGCAAUUGCUCCACUACCAGAUGGACCUGCGUUGUAUUAGCUAGUUGGUGAGGUAACGGCUCACCAAGGCGACGAUACAUAGCCGACCUGAGAGGGUGAUCGGCCACACUGGGACUGAGACACGGCCCAGACUACUACGGGAGGCAGCAGUAGGGAAUCUUCGGCAAUGGACGGAAGUCUGACCGAGCAACGCCGCGUGAGUGAAGAAGGUUUUCGGAUCGUAAAGCUCUGUUGUAAGAGAAGAACGAGUGUGAGAGUGGAAAGUUCACACUGUGACGGUAUCUUACCAGAAAGGGACGGCUAACUACGUG